Regulatory RNA element from Photobacterium profundum SS9, 53 nucleotides. It matches the Rfam family "L31-Gammaproteobacteria ribosomal protein leader". The record is from Rfam. Lineage: Bacteria; Pseudomonadati; Pseudomonadota; Gammaproteobacteria; Vibrionales; Vibrionaceae.
CGUGUGGUGCCCGGCUUUGGAUCGGGAGAGCGACGCGGCCUUAUACUUGAGGU